Molecule: ribosomal RNA, 497 nt
Filed under: uncultured bacterium
Lineage: Bacteria
Description: partial 16S ribosomal RNA
Rfam family: Bacterial small subunit ribosomal RNA
Source: RNAcentral
GAUGAACGCUGGCGGCGUGCCUAAUACAUGCAAGUCGAGCGAACAGAUGAGGAGCUUGCUCCUCUGACGUUAGCGGCGGACGGGUGAGUAACACGUGGAUAACCUACCUAUAAGACUGGGAUAUCUUCGGGAAACCGGAGCUAAUACCGGAUAAUAUAUUGAACCGCAUGGUUCAAUAGUGAAAGACGGUUUUGCUGUAUCUUAUAGAUGGAUCCGCGCCGCAUUAGCUAGUUGGUAAGGUAACGGCUUACCAAGGCAACGAUGCGUAGCCGACCUGAGAGGGUGAUCGGCCACACUGGAACUGAGACACGGUCCAGACGCCUACGGGAGGCAGCAGUAGGGAAUCUUCCGCAAUGGUCGAAAGCCUGACGGAGCAACGCCGCGUGAGUGAUGAAGGUCUUCGGAUCGUAAAACUCUGUUAUUAGUGAAGAACAAAUGUGUAAGUAACUAUGCACGUCUUGACGGUACCUAAUCAGAAAGCCACGGCUAACUACGUG